Molecule: long non-coding RNA, 289 nt
Organism: Cydia splendana
Lineage: Eukaryota; Metazoa; Arthropoda; Insecta; Lepidoptera; Tortricidae
Exons: 3
Source: RefSeq, a predicted model, not a curated record
CUGAAUGCGGAAUCCAAGGCCCAGUAAAUACCUUCUUUAAAAAUUACCUAAGUGACAGAACCCUGCAGACUGUUGUAAACGGAGUGUCCGGUGAGCUCGCGUGCGUGACGUCUGGUGUGCCGACUGGGUCAGUCUAUGGCCCGGUUGGAUACAUCAUGCAUUAGUUUAUGUGACUGCUACAUAAUGAAAGGCAUUAAAAUACGAGUGUGGGUUUAUGAAACGAGUGAAAUGAGUUUCAUAAUAGUAUCACACGAGUGUUUUAAUGCCUAAUUAUGUACAGGCCUUUGAC